UUGCAUACCUUGUCUUCCCUUUGUCUUAACUUUUAAAGGGCCAGACUCUCUGUACGUCAUCAGUUGAUAACCCAAUAGAAGUACUAGAGGUGUGGUUAUCUUCCAGAUCGCAAAUUAGGUAUUUGGUCUAUAGAGGGCAGUCUUGUCCCACUAAACAUACCUAUCCAGGAAAGAGUUAACUUUUCCUGGUGGCUAUUUUGACGUCAUUUUGGCCUAUCUCUAUCUUUGCUAUAACUUAGAUUGCUGUCAGAUAAAAACAGUUUCUUUAAGUUUUGUCCAGACUAUGUGUCUGCAAAUCUGAGUUUUGACCUGUAACUUACAAUGGGACCUUAUAGAUAUAGACAGUUAAAUUUUAUUAUUUAAUCUUCUCUGUCACAAUUGUCUGGGUUUAGAUUUGAUUAUAUUCCAUUAGCAUUAGACAGUCUGUCCAACCCCCUUUCUUCUUAUCACUUUUGUUUAUAAUAUGCAUUCCUUUAGCGCUGGGAAAGUGGUUAGUUUACAGAUAGAAAUCUUGUGUCUUUUUGUUAACUUGGAAAUAACAAAAUGGAGUCUGCUCUGUUCAGAGUCACUCAAAA
This is a non-coding RNA of Pelobates cultripes (western spadefoot toad), 575 nucleotides long. The record is from the annotation of a GenBank genome assembly. NCBI's taxonomy places the organism in Eukaryota, Metazoa, Chordata, Amphibia, Anura, Pelobatidae.